This 227-nucleotide long non-coding RNA is filed under the name Phoenix dactylifera (date palm). RNAcentral describes it as "long non-coding RNA (PDAC_LNC020618)". The record is from RNAcentral. Lineage: Eukaryota; Viridiplantae; Streptophyta; Magnoliopsida; Arecales; Arecaceae.
UAAAGGCCCACAUUUUAUUGGGCUUGGGAUACAAUCCGACCCAUGAGAAGGUGGAGGGAGACUCUUGAUCGGGUCUUCUCCCUCCCUGUUUCAAACCCAUCUUCCUCCUCCCGAAUCCACCAGAAAAAAAAAAAAAAACAGAGGGAAAAGGGGGAUUAAAUCUUACCUAAAUUGAACCAAACUCCAUCUAUAAAAGAUCCCUUUCUCCUCAUCCUAGGGCAUCAACC